Molecule: long non-coding RNA, 279 nt
Organism: Cucurbita maxima (winter squash)
Lineage: Eukaryota; Viridiplantae; Streptophyta; Magnoliopsida; Cucurbitales; Cucurbitaceae
Exons: 4
Source: RefSeq, a predicted model, not a curated record
UCGCGAUUUGAUACAUUCCGCAGCGUACGAUCCGAAUCAUGGAUACUUCGUUCAGCGGUAACGGUCGGUUGGAGUUAUGGAACAGAGCAUCACGUUCAAUCAGCUUGAAGCCUUGGUAUGCCCAUGGGAUUGCUGAAGCAAUCAUGCGUACUGCCAAUCUUUCUAUUCCACUGAAAGAGACGUGGAAGAGCAGCCGUGUUGGGUAAUUAUGCUUGAGGUUCUGGACAAUCUUCCAUUAUCUUAUGUACUCACAAAAUCAAGUUUCCUCUUGGAUGGAAG